UACGUAGGGGGCAAGCGUUGUCCGGAAUCAUUGGGCGUAAAGAGCGUGUAGGCGGCUCGAUAAGUCCGCUCUGAAAGCCCGGGGCUCAACCCCGGGAGGCGGGCGGAUACUGUCGAGCUAGAGUCCGGAAGAGGGAGAGUGGAAUUCCUGGUGUAGCGGUGAAAUGCGCAGAUAUCAGGAAGAACACCCGUGGCGAAGGCGGCUCUCUGGGACGGUACUGACGCUGAGACGCGAAAGCGUGGGGAGCGAACAGG
Molecule: ribosomal RNA, 254 nt
Filed under: uncultured bacterium
Lineage: Bacteria
Description: partial 16S ribosomal RNA
Rfam family: Bacterial small subunit ribosomal RNA
Source: RNAcentral